Brachypodium distachyon (stiff brome) is the source of this 926-nucleotide long non-coding RNA. RefSeq lists it as uncharacterized. The transcript is spliced from 3 exons. The record is from RefSeq and is a predicted model, not a curated record. NCBI's taxonomy places the organism in Eukaryota, Viridiplantae, Streptophyta, Magnoliopsida, Poales, Poaceae.
CCUGUAGUUUCCCUGCUCGUCUUCCUCCUCGUUUCCCCAACCUUUUCUCCUUUUUUUGUUUUCUCCUCCGCGCAGCCGCGCAGGCGAUUUCGAGGCGACGGAUUUUUCGACGGCGAGCGGCGCCGCUGCGGCGAACGAGGACCUGCACCCGGGAGGCGCGCGUCGCGGGCUACCACGAGCGGCCGCCGUAGUCGCCGGCGUCGUUUUUCUGCGCGGCGACGAAGGGGAGCACACCGAUUUUUGUCAGGUGCAACAUGGCAACGCAAAUUAUUAGUCAGGUGCAAUCUGGCAAAAUUUACUGAUGAACGGUGACCCUCCAAUCAUUUAGGCGUCCUGUGGGGUGGCCAAAGAAGGUCAUGCCGCAAGGAGGCUUAUCGUUCUACACAGGCACCACUGGCACUGGCUGACCAGCCAUGAUCAUGAAGUUGCCGGCGUCGAUAUGGAAUCUCUGAAGUUAACACUUCAGAGAAGCAUGCUAUUUCAACUAAUGGAAGCAUACACUUCUUCCCUGAUCCAGAUCCAAAUUUCAACUAUGGGGAUUAGGGACAUGGAACCAUAUGCAACGUUUUACGUGGAUAUGAACAUUGAUGUAUUGCUGAGUUCUUUUCCUACUGUUUUGCCUAUUGUUUAGAUAAGCAAUUUUUCGGGAUAUGAUGUCUGUGAUUUGCAAUGCACAGAACGAAGGAGAAACAUAUUUUGUUGGGGGCUGUAGGUAUAAGACCAGGGGCAAAUAUAGUCAGAUUAGGAAAGCAAAAGACAAGGGUGAAAACUUUUAUUACCGAAGCAUGUGGUGGUGGACUGUGCUUUUGAUGCAACAUUUGUGUCAGUUUUUCUCAAGCAACUUGUCUAUCCAUGAAAUAUUGAUUGUAUGUGUCAGAUCGAUGUAGUACUUCUGCUUCUAUUCAUGAUAGAGUUGCUUUUCUACA